AGAACUCAUUAAUGCUGACAGACUAUAACCAUCAGAACAUUUCAGAUGCACCGGUCAGUAUUUACUUUCAUAGACAUACAGUGAAAGCAACAUUAUAUGAUAAAACAAACAAGGAAAGAAGCAGAGUAAUUCCAGUUCUUAUACAUACAACCCAAAGACCAAUGGAAUCCUAUAGUUAAAAAACAAGAGCAAAUAAGAAUAUUGCAAACAAGAGGACUCCAUGAAAGUUUGUGAAUCAUUGUCCAUGCUCCUCGUGAGCACAACAGAACAAUAAUGUAAGAAAGUGCUUGUCACUUAUGACGGCCACUGAUGUCUCGGUCUGCCCAUUUCAAGACUAUCACAAUAUUACUGAAAAGAAUCACACUAAAACAAAAUAAACAUGUAACUAACAUAUAACUAAUCUCUUUUUUGCUCUAUUAGUAAGUUUUAAUUUUAGGAAUUAGGUGUUUUAACUUUCAAUUCUACCAGUAUGAGCUACUCAGAUUAAAUUACUAAUAGUUAAUCCAAUUGUCUGCAUCAAUUGAUCAUACUACUAGAAGCAUAUCGUGCUCAAGAGUUCAUGGAUGAUGGUCGCAUGCUUAACAUAGUAAAUUGAUCAUUUUAACUCAGUUCCUUCUCCCCUCAAGUUUGUCCAACCACUGUAGUUUUAGCCAUCGGUCCCAAAUAAAAGCUGCAAUUGUGAUGAGCUUAGGGAUACCUCCCACUAUUUUAGUUGUCGUUGGAAAUGGAAUAAAUUUGACUCGGAAACAAUUCAGUGAUAAACUGAAAAAUCUUCAAAGUUUAAACACCUAAUAGCUAAAAUUAAAACUUUUUGAUAGAAUUGAAAAACUGCAUAAGUUCAAGAUUUUUUUUUUUGGCAAUUAAAAAAAAAAAA
RNAcentral lists this unclassified non-coding RNA (874 nucleotides) under Hevea brasiliensis (rubber tree). Lineage: Eukaryota; Viridiplantae; Streptophyta; Magnoliopsida; Malpighiales; Euphorbiaceae. The record is from RNAcentral.